Capsicum annuum is the source of this 870-nucleotide long non-coding RNA. RefSeq lists it as uncharacterized. The transcript has 4 exons. The record is from RefSeq and is a predicted model, not a curated record. NCBI's taxonomy places the organism in Eukaryota, Viridiplantae, Streptophyta, Magnoliopsida, Solanales, Solanaceae.
AGGUUAGCUCAAUUACAUAAAAGUAAAGUAAACACAUAAGAAACUAGGCACUUUGUUCUCAAAACUUAACUAAAAUAUGGGUAAGUUAUGGUGCUUAGGCCUAUAAAUACACCCAAUAUCAAUAAUAUGUCUGAAACAUUGAUUCCUUAGCAGUUUCUUCAAUUGCUCCUAUCAAGAUCUUUCAGAAGCUAUUGCCGAACUGGACACUUUGGGUGAGGAAUUCUACAAGGAUAACACCCUUAUCAUACAAUUGUUAAGGGACAAUCUCACUCUCUGGACUUCUGAUAUGCAGGUGUAAGCGCUAUAAUACAGUGUUGAUAUCAGUCUAUUAAAAAAAAUACAACAAAAUGUCUUCUGGAUAUUUACAUUUUCUCAGUUUAAAUAGUGAAUUUGAAGACACUCACAUGGUAUACAAGACCGCCAAAGAGUUCCUGACAGCUUUUCUUUGCAAGGGUAUAGACGCACUGACUAUAGUUCAUCGCCACCUACUUGUGGAGAUUUCAGUAGUUAUUCGCGUGGCGAUUAUGGAAGAUGGGAAAGUCGUUCGUCUGGAUGGAGUGAUCGAGAUAAUGAUGCACAAUCUGAUCGGCAUUCAGAAUAAAGGGACAUGAGCUGGAGAAGCAAGUCGAAGACGAAUCUGUAGGUUAGUUGAAGGAUCUGAAGGCAGAGUUUGUGAUAAAACUAAAGUGGUUUCAAGUGCUUAAAUAAAGCCCUUUACAUAUAUAAAUUUUGUGUAUUAAAUGAUGUGGCUUCGUCAUUUGUUUCUUCAUUGGCAGCUACUACAUAAUUUUACUAAUGCUAAUGGACUCUAUGUAAUUUAAGUUAUGCAAUUUCUUAAACUGAGCUAAAACAACAGUUUAGAGAAUGGAA